RNAcentral lists this ribosomal RNA (279 nucleotides) under uncultured bacterium. RNAcentral describes it as "partial 16S ribosomal RNA". It matches the Rfam family "Bacterial small subunit ribosomal RNA", at positions 506 to 784 of the family's 1533-position model. The record is from RNAcentral.
UGCCAGCCGCCGCGGUAAGACGAACCGUACGAACGUUAUUCGGAAUUACUGGGCUUAAAGGGUGCGUAGGCUGCACGGAAAGUUGGGUGUGAAAGCCCUCAGCUCAACUGAGGAAUUGCAUCCAAAACUGCCGUGCUUGAGGGAGACAGAGGUGAGCGGAACUCAAGGUGGAGCGGUGAAAUGCGUUGAUAUCUUGAGGAACACCGGUGGCGAAAGCGCUCUACUGGACCAUUACUGACACUCAGAGGCGAAAGCUAGGGUAGCAAAAGGGAUUAGAUA